GACGAACGCUGGCGGCGUGCUUAACACAUGCAAGUCGAACGGAAAGGCCCUGCUUUUUUGGGGUUCUCGAGUGGCGAACGGGUGAGUAACACGUGAGUAACCUGCCCUUUACUGUGGGAUAACUUCAGGAAACUGGGGCUAAUACCGGAUAGGAGCUCCUGCUGCAUGGUGGGGGUUGGACAGUUUCGGCGGUUGGGGAUGGACUCGCGGCUUAUCAGCUUGUUGGUGGGGUAGUGGCUUACCAAGGCUUCGGCGGGUAGCCGGCCUGAGAGGGUGACCGGCCACAUUGGGACUGAGAUACGGCCCAGACGCCUACGGGAGGCAGCAGUGGGGAGUAUUGCACAAUGGGCGGAAGCCUGAGGAAGCGACGCCGCGUGCGGGAUGACGGCCUUCGGGUUGUAAACCGCUUUCGCCUGUGACGAAGCGUGAGUGACGGUAAUGGGAAAAGAAGCACCGGCUAACUACGUG
Molecule: ribosomal RNA, 468 nt
Filed under: uncultured bacterium
Lineage: Bacteria
Description: partial 16S ribosomal RNA
Rfam family: Bacterial small subunit ribosomal RNA
Source: RNAcentral